AGCAAGAAUAUAUUCCUUAAUGCCAUAUUUUAAAGAGAACAAAGAUUCUUUUUCAUCUAUAAUAUUUGAACUCAAAUUAAGAAUACAAAAUACAUUUAAAUAAUCAUCACUGGCACCGUUCUUAUUCUUUGCUCAAUAUUGUCGACUAUAAUAGGAACCAACUUUGUUAUCUCUGUGCGAGGAACUGUGUGAAAUAUUUUUACUUGGAUUAAAAAAUCUAGCUCGCACAACUCCGUAAAGUGGGCUAUAGGUUAUUCUUGUUUUGUAAAUGAGGAAACAGACAUCACAGGGGAGAGUGACCGGCCCAAGACCACACACCUCGGCAGUGUCUGAGCCCACCCUCUUAGCUGCUUCACUACAGCCUCCUGCCAUGGUCAAGCUCAAGAGUUGGAUCAGACAGUCAGCACUGACUGAAGUGGAGAAGGAGUGCUGUUGACAUUCCCAUGGUCAGAAGUACCUUUUCCAAUGGCCUGUAACUAGGUGUGGAAUUUUGUUAUUAAAGAUUUCUUUUAUUUGUCA
Molecule: long non-coding RNA, 519 nt
Organism: Prionailurus viverrinus (fishing cat)
Lineage: Eukaryota; Metazoa; Chordata; Mammalia; Carnivora; Felidae
Exons: 2
Source: RefSeq, a predicted model, not a curated record